This 409-nucleotide ribosomal RNA is filed under the name Streptococcus mitis. RNAcentral's name for it is "bacterial SSU rRNA". It matches the Rfam family "Bacterial small subunit ribosomal RNA", at positions 28 to 429 of the family's 1533-position model. The record is from RNAcentral. Lineage: Bacteria; Bacillati; Bacillota; Bacilli; Lactobacillales; Streptococcaceae.
GACGAACGCUGGCGGCGUGCCUAAUACAUGCAAGUAGAACGCUGAAGGAGGAGCUUGCUUCUCUGGAUGAGUUGCGAACGGGUGAGUAACGCGUAGGUAACCUGCCUGGUAGCGGGGGAUAACUAUUGGAAACGAUAGCUAAUACCGCAUAAGAGUAGAUGUUGCAUGACAUUUGCUUAAAAGGUGCAAUUGCAUCACUACCAGAUGGACCUGCGUUGUAUUAGCUAGUUGGUGGGGUAACGGCUCACCAAGGCGACGAUACAUAGCCGACCUGAGAGGGUGAUCGGCCACACUGGGACUGAGACACGGCCCAGACUCCUACGGGAGGCAGCAGUAGGGAAUCUUCGGCAAUGGACGGAAGUCUGGCCGAGCAACGCCGCGUGAGUUUAGAAGGUUUUCGGAUCGUAAA